UACGGAGGGGGCAAGCGUUGUUCGGAAUUACUGGGCGUAAAGGGCGCGUAGGCAGCCAGUUGCGUCGGGUGUGAAAGCCCCGGGCUCAACCUGGGAGGUGCACUUGAUACGGGCUGGCUGGAAUCCGGGAGAGGAUGGUGGAAUUCCCAGUGUAGAGGUGAAAUUCGUAGAUAUUGGGAAGAACACCGAUGGCGAAGGCAGCCAUCUGGACCGGGAUUGACACUGAGGCGCGAAAGCGUGGGGAGAAAACAGG
RNAcentral lists this ribosomal RNA (253 nucleotides) under uncultured bacterium. Its description in RNAcentral is "partial 16S ribosomal RNA". It matches the Rfam family "Bacterial small subunit ribosomal RNA", at positions 524 to 776 of the family's 1533-position model. The record is from RNAcentral.